UGUUGCUGUUGUCUUUGU
Molecule: unclassified non-coding RNA, 18 nt
Filed under: Mus musculus (house mouse)
Lineage: Eukaryota; Metazoa; Chordata; Mammalia; Rodentia; Muridae
Description: oocyte_clustered_small_RNA11249
Source: RNAcentral